This 652-nucleotide long non-coding RNA is filed under the name Rattus norvegicus (Norway rat). RNAcentral's name for it is "long non-coding RNA NONRATT015770". Lineage: Eukaryota; Metazoa; Chordata; Mammalia; Rodentia; Muridae. The record is from RNAcentral.
GCUCCCUCUCCUUACAGGCCUCCCCUCAGCAAAGAACGCCCCUCUCCUGUCCCUUUCAUCAUCUUUGGCAUUCAUAGGAGAUGGCAGCCCCGCUACAGCGGAAAGUCUGCUCCGCAUCAAAGCCGCCCGGUUUUGUUUUUUGUUUUUCAUUACGCUCUGCAGAGCUCUCAAUUCCCAGCAUCCCCGAGCCCCCGAAUGCUCUAAAUGCCAGCAGUGUUUACAUUUUUGUUCAGCCUACACGUCCUUUCCUGCUUAAGAACCAUGUGCCCUCUCUUUCGUCGUGUGGCCAACACACCCUGCUUCCUUCCCCUUCCUCUGAUUCUUCCGACCUUUGACUCAGUCACACCCAUCCUGGCUGGUAGUGCAGAAGGGAGCAUUCGAAAUGUCUCAAGUCCUCGCCAGUGCCCUCUGGCAUGGUUCUCCUUAGGCAGAGCAAAAAUAGUCCAGUUACUCCAGGAGCCCCAGUUAUCAGUGUGUCCCAGUACUGAGCCCUGGUGUUACGUAUCUUAAUAACCGUUCUCUCAUUCACCUGAAGUAUGUUGUUCUACCUACUGUUCUUGUCCCCAGCAAACAGGAGUCAAAAAAUAAAAGUAGUGAUGUUUAGAUUUAGUAAAUUAUUUUUUUUAAUAAAUCCCGAGAAGUUCCAGUGCAA